This 269-nucleotide ribosomal RNA is filed under the name uncultured bacterium. Its description in RNAcentral is "partial 16S ribosomal RNA". It matches the Rfam family "Bacterial small subunit ribosomal RNA", at positions 85 to 354 of the family's 1533-position model. The record is from RNAcentral.
UAGUGGGUUAGUGGCGGACGGGUGAGUAACGCGUGGGUAACCUGCCUUACACAGGGGGAUAACACCUGGAAACAGGUGCUAAUACCGCAUAAGCGCACAGGGCCGCAUGGCCCGGUGUGAAAAACUCCGGUGGUGUAAGAUGGACCCGCGUCUGAUUAGCUUGUUGGCGGGGUAGGGGCCCACCAAGGCGACGAUCAGUAGCCGGCCUGAGAGGGUGGACGGCCACAUUGGGACUGAGACACGGCCCAAACUCCUACGGGAGGCAGCAG